Small nucleolar RNA from Jaculus jaculus (lesser Egyptian jerboa), 134 nucleotides. NCBI's taxonomy places the organism in Eukaryota, Metazoa, Chordata, Mammalia, Rodentia, Dipodidae. The record is from Ensembl.
GGCUGACCUGGAAUUUACUGAGGCUGUGUUCUUAUACUGACUGUAUAGAAAGAGGAGGCAAAGUAAACCUACCCCCAUGUGUACCUCUGCCUAGGCCACUGUGCCUGGUCUGAAUUGUGAAUGGGGAUACAUAG